CCUACGGGUGGCAGCAGUGGGGAAUAUUGCACAAUGGGGGAAACCCUGAUGCAGCGACGCCGCGUGGGUGACGAAGUAUUUCGGUAUGUAAAGCCCUAUCAGCAGGGAAGAAGAUGACAGUACCUGACCAAGAAGCCCCGGCUAACUACGUGCCAGCAGCCGCGGUAAUACGUAGGGGGCAAGCGUUAUCCGGAUUUACUGGGUGUAAAGGGAGCGUAGGUGGCAUGGCAAGCCAGAAGUGAAAACCCGGGGCUUAACCCCGCGGAUUGCUUUUGGAACUGUCAGGCUGGAGUGCAGGAGGGGCAGGCGGAAUUCCUGGUGUAGCGGUGAAAUGCGUAGAUAUCAGGAGGAACACCGGUGGCGAAGGCGGCCUGCUGGACUGUAACUGACACUGAGGCUCGAAAGCGUGGGGAGCAAACAGGAUUAGAUACCCGGGUAGUC
RNAcentral lists this ribosomal RNA (441 nucleotides) under uncultured bacterium. RNAcentral's name for it is "partial 16S ribosomal RNA". It matches the Rfam family "Bacterial small subunit ribosomal RNA", at positions 338 to 795 of the family's 1533-position model. The record is from RNAcentral.